This 602-nucleotide ribosomal RNA is filed under the name Paenibacillus sp. WB5. Its description in RNAcentral is "bacterial SSU rRNA". It matches the Rfam family "Bacterial small subunit ribosomal RNA", at positions 66 to 649 of the family's 1533-position model. The record is from RNAcentral. Lineage: Bacteria; Bacillati; Bacillota; Bacilli; Caryophanales; Paenibacillaceae.
GCGGACUUGAUGAGAAGCUUGCUUCUCUGAUGGUUAGCGGCGGACGGGUGAGUAACACGUAGGCAACCUGCCCUCAAGUUUGGGACAACUACCGGAAACGGUAGCUAAUACCGAAUAGUUGUUUCCUUCACCUGAAGGAAACUGGAAAGACGGAGCAAUCUGUCACUUGGGGAUGGGCCUGCGGCGCAUUAGCUAGUUGGUGAGGUAACGGCUCACCAAGGCGACGAUGCGUAGCCGACCUGAGAGGGUGAUCGGCCACACUGGGACUGAGACACGGCCCAGACUCCUACGGGAGGCAGCAGUAGGGAAUCUUCCGCAAUGGGCGAAAGCCUGACGGAGCAAUGCCGCGUGAGUGAUGAAGGUUUUCGGAUCGUAAAGCUCUGUUGCCAGGGAAGAACGCUUGGGAGAGUAACUGCUCUCAAGGUGACGGUACCUGAGAAGAAAGCCCCGGCUAACUACGUGCCAGCAGCCGCGGUAAUACGUAGGGGGCAAGCGUUGUCCGGAAUUAUUGGGCGUAAAGCGCGCGCAGGCGGUCAUUUAAGUCUGGUGUUUAAUCCCGGGGCUCACCCCGGAUCGCACUGGAAACUGGGUGACUUGAGUGC